This is a non-coding RNA of Parathielavia hyrcaniae, 72 nucleotides long. The record is from the annotation of a GenBank genome assembly. Lineage: Eukaryota; Fungi; Ascomycota; Sordariomycetes; Sordariales; Chaetomiaceae.
GCGCUCUUGGUCUAGCGGUAUGAUUCUCGCUUAGGGUGCGAGAGGUCCCAGGUUCGAUCCCUGGAGAGCGCC